Molecule: ribosomal RNA, 488 nt
Filed under: uncultured bacterium
Lineage: Bacteria
Description: SSU rRNA
Rfam family: Bacterial small subunit ribosomal RNA
Source: RNAcentral
AGGAUUAACGCUGGCGGCGUGCAUGAAACAUGCAAGUCGAGCGCGGUGUGAUGCGGGGUAACCCAAUUCACAUCUAGCGGCGAACGGGUGAGUAACACGUGAGCAACCUACCUUUGAGUUGGGGAUAGCCCUGGGAAACCAGGAUUAAUACCCGAUGUGGUCACAACAGGACAUCCUGAUGUGAGUAAAGGCGUAAGCCGCUCAAUGACGGGCUCGCGGCCUAUUAGCUUGUUGGUGGGGUAACGGCCUACCAAGGCGAUGAUGGGUAGCUGGUCUGAGAGGACGAUCAGCCACACUGGGACUGAGACACGGCCCAGACUCCUACGGGAGGCAGCAGUUAGGAAUUUUCCGCAAUGGGCGAAAGCCUGACGGAGCAACGCCGCGUGAGUGAUGAAGACCUUCGGGUUGUAAGCUCUGUCGGAGGGAAGAACACAAUGACGGUACCCUCCAAGAAAGCCCGGCUAACUACGUGCCAGCAGCCGCGGUAA